Molecule: long non-coding RNA, 408 nt
Organism: Vidua chalybeata
Lineage: Eukaryota; Metazoa; Chordata; Aves; Passeriformes; Viduidae
Exons: 2
Source: RefSeq, a predicted model, not a curated record
CCGGCACCGCCGCGGCCACCGGCGCGGAGAGCGGCGGAAACUGCGCGGUUCCCACGGGCCGGGAGGAGCCCCCGCGCUGCUUCCGCAGCCGCGCAGAGAGCCAGGAGAGAGAUUCCUGCGGGAAUGAGCGCGGACAGUGAAACGACACAUUUUUGUUCUCCUGGUGGAUGGAGGCUGGCUGGGAGGAGCACGCCGCCGGUGCCUGGGCUGCCGCCGGAGCCGGAGGAGCGGGAUGCGCUCCGCGGGCAGCAGCAGCCUCCAAAGGAAAUCACUCAAGGGAAACUUCGCCAGAGACAAAAAAACCACAUUCAAUUUCCUGACUACUGCUUUCCUGUUCGAGUUAUUUAUUUUGGCAACCGCACGUUCAAUAAAUGAAAUAUUCAAUCAACUGGCCUCCGUGCCAGCUCA